This 253-nucleotide ribosomal RNA is filed under the name uncultured bacterium. Its description in RNAcentral is "partial 16S ribosomal RNA". It matches the Rfam family "Bacterial small subunit ribosomal RNA", at positions 524 to 776 of the family's 1533-position model. The record is from RNAcentral.
UACGGAGGGGGCUAGCGUUGUCCGGAAUCAUUGGGCGUAAAGCGCGUGUAGGCGGUCCGGUAAGUCCGCUGUGAAAGUCGAGGGCUCAACCCUCGAAUGCCGGUGGAUACUGUCGGGCUUGAGUACGGGAGAGGCGAGUGGAAUUCCUGGUGUAGCGGUGAAAUGCGCAGAUAUCAGGAGGAACACCAAUGGCGAAGGCAGCUCGCUGGGACGGUACUGACGCUGAGGCGCGAAAGCGUGGGGAGCAAACAGG